RNAcentral lists this ribosomal RNA (468 nucleotides) under uncultured bacterium. Its description in RNAcentral is "partial 16S ribosomal RNA". It matches the Rfam family "Bacterial small subunit ribosomal RNA", at positions 28 to 507 of the family's 1533-position model. The record is from RNAcentral.
GACGAACGCUGGCGGCGUGCUUAAUACAUGCAAGUCGAACGGAAAGGCCCUGCUUUUGUGGGGUGCUCGAGUGGCGAACGGGUGAGUAACACGCGAGUAACCUGCCCUUGACAUUGGGAUAACUCUAGGAAACUGGGGCUAAUACCGGAUAGGAGCUCCUGCUGCAUGGUGGGGGUUGGAAAGUUUCGGCGGUUGUGGAUGGACUCGCGGCUUAUCGGCUUGAUGGUGUGGUAGUGACUUACCAAGGUUUUGACGGGUAGCCGGCCUGGGAGGGUGGCCGGCCACCUGGGGCCUGAGGGACGGACCAGACUCCAACGGGAGGCAGCGGUGGGAAAUAUUGCGCAGUGGGCGGAAGCCUGAUACGGCGACGCCGCGUGCGGGAUGACGGGCUUCGGGUUGUAAACAGAUUUCGCCUGUAACGAGGCGUUAGUGACGGUAAUGAGUAAGGAAGCACCGGCUAACUACGUG